GGAGGGGUGGCCGAGCGGUUGAAGGCAGCGGUCUUGAAAACCGCCGAUGGGAAACCAUCCGAGAGUUCGAAUCUCUCCUCCUCCGCCA
RNAcentral lists this transfer RNA (88 nucleotides) under Arsenophonus nasoniae (son-killer infecting Nasonia vitripennis). RNAcentral's name for it is "tRNA-Ser". It matches the Rfam family "tRNA". From Rfam's summary of the family: Transfer RNA (tRNA) molecules are approximately 80 nucleotides in length. Their secondary structure includes four short double-helical elements and three loops (D, anti-codon, and T loops). Lineage: Bacteria; Pseudomonadati; Pseudomonadota; Gammaproteobacteria; Enterobacterales; Morganellaceae. The record is from RNAcentral.